AGAGUUUGAUCAUGGCUCAGAUUGAACGCUGGCGGCAGGCCUAACACAUGCAAGUCGAACGGUAACAGGAAGCAGCUUGCUGCUUCGCUGACGAGUGGCGGACGGGUGAGUAAUGUCUGGGAAGCUGCCUGAUGGAGGGGGAUAACUACUGGAAACGGUAGCUAAUACCGCAUAAUGUCGCAAGACCAAAGAGGGGGACCUUCGGGCCUCUUGCCAUCGGAUGUGCCCAGAUGGGAUUAGCUUGUUGGUGGGGUAACGGCUCACCAAGGCGACGAUCCCUAGCUGGUCUGAGAGGAUGACCGGCCACACUGGAACUGAGACACGGUCCAGACUCCUACGGGAGGCAGCAGUGGGGAAUAUUGCACAAUGGGCGCAAGCCUGAUGCAGCCAUGCCGCGUGUAUGAAGAAGGCCUUCGGGUUGUAAAGUACUUUCAGCGGGGAGGAAGGGAGUAAAGUUAAUACCUUUGCUCAUUGACGUUACCCGCAGAAGAAGCACCGGCUAACUCCGUGCCAGCAGCCGCGGUAAUACGGAGGGUGCAAGCGUUAAUCGGAAUUACUGGGCGUAAAGCGCACGCAGGCGGUUUGUUAAGUCAGAUGUGAAAUCCCCGGGCUCAACCAGGGAACUGCAUCUGAUACUGGCAAGCUUGAGUCUCGUAGAGGGGGGUAGAAUUCCAGGUGUAGCGGUGAAAUGCGUAGAGAUCUGGAGGAAUACCGGUGGCGAAGGCGGCCCCCUGGACGAAGACUGACGCUCAGGUGCGAAAGCGUGGGGAGCAAACAGGAUUAGAUACCCUGGUAGUCCACGCCGUAAACGAUGUCGACUUGGAGGUUGUGCCCUUGAGGCGUGGCUUCCGGAGCUAACGCGUUAAGUCGACCGCCUGGGGAGUACGGCCGCAAGGUUAAAACUCAAAUGAAUUGACGGGGGCCCGCACAAGCGGUGGAGCAUGUGGUUUUAUUCGAUGCAACGCGAAGAACCUUACCUGGUCUUGACAUCCACGGAAGUUUUCAGAGAUGAGAAUGUGCCUCCGGGAACCGUGAGACAGGUGCUGCAUGGCUGUCGUCAGCUCGUGUUGUGAAAUGUUGGGUUAAGUCCCGCAACGAGCGCAACCCUUAUCCUUUGUUGCCAGCGGUCCGGCCGGGAACUCAAAGGAGACUGCCAGUAAUAGACCGGAGGAAGGUGGGGAUGACGUCAAGUCAUCAUGGCCCUUACGACCAGGGCUACACACGUGCUACAAUGGCGCAUACAAAGAGAAGCGACCUCGCGAGAGCAAGCGGACCUCAUAAAGUGCGUCGUAGUCCGGAUUGGAGUCUGCAACUCGACUCCAUGAAGUCGGAAUCGCUAGUAAUCGUGGAUCAGAAUGCCACGGUGAAUACGUUCCCGGGCCUUGUACACACCGCCCGUCACACCAUGGGAGUGGGUUGCAAAAGAAGUAGGUAGCUUAACCUUCGGGAGGGCGCUUACCACUUUGUGAUUCAUGACUGGGGUGAAGUCGUAACAAGGUA
This 1500-nucleotide ribosomal RNA is filed under the name metagenome. RNAcentral's name for it is "bacterial SSU rRNA". It matches the Rfam family "Bacterial small subunit ribosomal RNA". The record is from RNAcentral.